Molecule: long non-coding RNA, 2056 nt
Organism: Hibiscus syriacus
Lineage: Eukaryota; Viridiplantae; Streptophyta; Magnoliopsida; Malvales; Malvaceae
Exons: 3
Source: RefSeq, a predicted model, not a curated record
UUUGAGAAAAACUAAUUACGGAAUUGAUUUUUUUCUCAAUUACUGUGUUUGGUUCUGUAAAAGCCUUUGAUCGAUGUAAAACCAAUUACGGUCAACGUAAAAUAAACUCCUUUGGCCCGUAAAACAACUUAUCAUGGAAAAAAUCGGGAAUUCAUUUUACGAACCAACUGCAUCCCAUGUUUCUUUGCCUUUGAUCUCCUUCAUUCUCCGAUCAACUAUCACCCGUCGUCUUUUCACCAACAACAAAAUCAGCAGAUUUUUCCAGCAAAAUCAAGGAGCAACUCUAUGAUUCCAAGGUAAUAUUUCGAAUCCCUAAUGCUCUUCCCCCCCUUUUGCUUUCCUCUUUGAUUUCCAAGGGUAAAUCUCUUUAAAAGAUUACCAUUUAAGAGGUCGAACUCAGCUUUUAGGGGAACUCAGCUUUUUGAGUCUAAAUCAUUUCCAGAUUACCAUUCGCGGAUUCUACUCGCUCGCAAAGCGAGUCCGGUGUUAUCGCCAACUUGUUCUUCUUACUGGAGUCCACCUGCACAUUUGAUUAAAAUUUUCUCCAAUACGAGGAUCGACCUUUGAACCUGGCAUAUCAUUGAUAACAAAAGGGAAACGAGGUACGUUUUUCAAUAUAUGAUAUAUGACAUAAAUUCUUAAUAGUAUAUCGACAUAAAUUACAUCCACUUUAGCUUAGGUAAAAGCUUAAAUGUAAUAUGAACUUUAGCUUUAGGUAAAAGCUAAAACGUAAUAUGAACUUUAGCUUUAGGUUAACUAAAUUCUAAUAAAGCUAUCAUUUGGAACAUUUAGGAUGAGACAAUGGAGAUGUGAAACUGUUAAAAAAAAGAAAUAAGGAAUAUAAGAUCUUGUGUUGUCUUGUAUUUGGCAUUAAAACUCACCAACUGACUAACCAAAUCUAGAUGCAGCGAUAACUAGUUUUAUUAUGAAUUAGACAAUAUCUUUGUAUUAUUAUGGUUGGAUAAUAUCGUUAUCUUAAUGUUUGUAAUCACAACAUGAUUUGCAUCUUUAGAUUAUUUUUUCUGCUAUUUUUGGGGACAUGGGUCUUUAAAUUUUGAGAUUUGUUGUUUCUUCACUGUGCUAUUUUGCUUCUUAGUCAGGGCUUCCUUGGGGGUUUCCUUUCAUUUGCUGGGUGCUAUAGCUUGUGAUGUGAAUUUGAAGUAGGUGUGGUUAGAUUUUUGUUUAUACAAUAAUGAGAAACAAUGGGUUUUGCUUCAUUUGAAUUGAAAGUGGAAGUGUUAGUUUCCCUGAUAUGUUUUACGCAACCUAAGUAUUUACCCCAAGUUGAGCUUCUUUCAUAUGCUAAAGCAUUAUUUAUACCAUAUGAGACAGUAAAAGAGGUUUAUGUUUGAUCCCAGUUCAUGUUAUUGAAUGUCAUUCAUGUUGCUAAGAGUAAGAUAAUGAGGGAAGAAAAAUAAUCGGUAUUAGUUGAGGGUUCCGGUCUUGCCUCAUAUUUUUUUUUGAUUAAUUAAAAGUAAUAAAUUACCUUGAACCUUUUGUUUUAGUUGGAUAUCCCAUACAUUAGGGGAAAAAACUUCAGCUUGACAUUAAAUAUGCAAGGGAAGUGACCCAAAAAUAGCCGUCAACUUGGCAUAUAUCUGAUUUGAUCUUGAAGAUAACCACCUACAACACCACCUUGAUUAUCACCAUCAUAGACACUACUGGGAUCUUCAGUAGCAGCUGUUUGAUAUUGGAUGCUAGCUGUGCAUUAGCAUCAUCGUUACCAUAUUCAGAUACCGAGCUGUGUUGGUGGGUCCAUGGGAUGAAGUAUAAGAAGAAGCAGAGGCUGCAGCAGCUCUAUCAGCGCUCCGUUUAAGCCUACGCAUGUGAUUAAGAAUCGAAACACACUCGUUAAGGGCAAGCUCAAUGCCACAGUUUGCUUUCAUUGCUGAAAGCUUCUCCCAAGUGCAUCUUCUCCCUUGGUUGACUGCCUUUUGAAGCGCAUCACCAUUGCUGCCAACCAGAAUAGAACCAUCGACCUGCUGGUUUAAGCGCAACGUGCACAACCACAAAGGAGUAUGGAGGUUCGCUUGCCUCUUUUAUAUCAUAUGGUAUU